GUCCAAAUGACUAAGAGAGAUAACAGUCCAGUUUUGCCCUCAGUGUCAAAGUUUUCAUUUAUAUCCCAAAAGGUACAAAACACAUGUAUAAUAUUUUAAAUGGUAAAAAGUUAAAUACUUAACAUCAAUGUGAACAAAAAUGGUCAUAAAUUCUUAAUACAAACUUCAACUGAACAAAUAUCCAUGUAUUGCCCUUUUAUAUUACAAAAAUCAAAAUUGCAGUUGUUUCAAUACAUAAUAAUACAUCGAAUUUUAUGCACGAAUGAUUUCUCUUUAAAAUAACAAUUGAAGCUAAAAAUAAGUGUAGUUCUGGGUGCGGAGGAGUUGAAACAAUAACACAUAUAUUCUGGACGUGUCCCUAUAUAUCAAAAGUCAGGGAAGACCCUAACUCCUGGAUAUUUCAGAAGACAGAAAUAAAACUAACCUUGAAUAUUGAUUUGGUUUUAUUAGGUCUUCUAACAAAAACAGAUAUAAAUGAUAUAAGAAACGUAAUACUUCUGUUAACAAUACUCUACAUUUAUAGAUGCAAAUUGUCAAUGGAACAAACCAAUAUCAUAGCCCGAAAAAAUAUUUAAAAGAAAACUCAUUAAUAGAAAAAUAUACUUUAUAAAAACAAAUUACUCAGUAGGGCAGAGAACUGCUGGAACCCCUGAACUCCUUUUCUGUCAUAAAAACAAACAAACAAAAACAUAAUAGACUCCACAUAUAUUGAAUAUAUAUUUCAUAUUCAAACAGCCUUUGUCUUACAAUCAUUUUCUGCAGUGUAUCAAACUAAAACAG
Molecule: long non-coding RNA, 780 nt
Filed under: Mytilus galloprovincialis (Mediterranean mussel)
Lineage: Eukaryota; Metazoa; Mollusca; Bivalvia; Mytilida; Mytilidae
Source: RNAcentral